GCUGCAAAGUUACGUACUAAGAAAAGCAGGAGUACCGUCAAACAAGCACAGAAGAUAAAUUUUUUCGAAGUACGUCUUAUAGAAGUUUUAUGUGGUUAGUUUUUGGACAUAUGGGAAAUAAAAGGUAUCCCUUACCGGCAUGUGCAUAUGACAAAAUAAGACGGCAGUUCCAACCAGCUGACAAUGACGAUUUUGUAGGAUUUGUGGAAGAGGAAAUCUCUUGAAAAUUUUCAACUGUUGUAUUUAGGGUUUGUGGGAUUAACUUCAAAUUAUAACAAAAACUAUAUUUAUAUGUAAUAUGAUUGUUUGAUUAUGUAAUAUGAUUGUUUGAUCUUGUUA
Long non-coding RNA from Xenia sp. Carnegie-2017, 339 nucleotides. RefSeq lists it as uncharacterized. The transcript is spliced from 2 exons. The record is from RefSeq and is a predicted model, not a curated record. NCBI's taxonomy places the organism in Eukaryota, Metazoa, Cnidaria, Anthozoa, Malacalcyonacea, Xeniidae.